Long non-coding RNA from Mesocricetus auratus (golden hamster), 2399 nucleotides. RefSeq lists it as uncharacterized. The record is from RefSeq and is a predicted model, not a curated record. The transcript is spliced from 4 exons. NCBI's taxonomy places the organism in Eukaryota, Metazoa, Chordata, Mammalia, Rodentia, Cricetidae.
AAGGAGAUGAAUGAAAGGAAGAAGAAAGAAGAGAAGGAGGAGGAAGAGAGGGACACGCCCUGGACCAGCCAGGCAGCAGGGCCCAAGAAGCAGUGAAAGUAAGAUAUGCAGAAGGAAGAAAAGGGAAAAUCUCCAAGGCAAAAUGUAAGUAAAGAGAAACAGGUUAAGUUAAAAGAGCUAGCCAGAAAUGAGCCUAAGCUAGGCUGAGCAUUCAUAACUAAUAAGAAGACUCAGUGUCAUAAUUUGGGAGCUGGUCGAUGGCCCAAAAGAAGAGGACCUACUGGACUCCAGUGAGAAAUCACAGAAAAUAUUAUAGAAAGCAAUGUGAACGUAAAAUUCUACCAGGAUGUGAAAGAACGUCGUAUGUAUGUGACCCGUAGCACAACCACAAGACCAGCAUCAGACAUUCUGGCCAAGGGAUAUUCCACAAAACACCUCACGGCACAUGCUUCUCUUCAGCCAGAGCUUCAGUGAGUACAGCCUGUGCCACUGUCCCCAAAGCACCGGAAUUACCUCUGUGGGGAAAGAGAAGGCAGAGAGAGGAGCACCAGGCUUGGGGAGCCUCUCUCUAGGCACUAAUCUCCCGUGAGGGCCUGUGUGAAGUUAGAUUUAAAGCUGCCAAGGCCAAUGGAGGAUCCAGCUGCUGUGUAGGAGAAAGUCUAACACCCUGAACGUUCCCAGAGCUUUCUCCAUGGAUGACUACAGAGCUUCUGAGGCUAUGGGUGGAGAUGGUGUGUGCUGACUAUUGUGGAGUACAUCUCUGUUCUCCUUCCCUUCCAGGACAGAGUGGUGUCAAGGGAGGACAGAGUUCUCCCACUGCCCUCAGAACUGAUGAUUUUAAUCAUGCAGGUCUAGAAGACACAAGUUCAGUCUUGGAGGCCUUUUCUCUUUGUUCAUUUCUUCUCCUUUGAGGUCAGGGCACAUACUGAUCAGUGGCAUUGGCAUCCCAACACAGUACUGGGUAAAAAACCAGGUCUAGGACACGGAAUCAAAGGGCACAAAUAGUUCAUCCCAGUGAAUGGUUAGUCCAGAUGCACUUAACUAGAACUCUGCCAGUAAAUCCAGGCUCCCUACUGGAAGUGGGGGUUUUGUUUUACUAUUCAACCUGAAUCUGCAGGCCAGGUCUACAUGAUCAUCCUAGUUGGCAUUAAUGCUUGACACAGUCCAGAGUCACCUGAGAAAGGAGUCUCAAUUGAGAGAUUGCCAAAUCUGCUCAGCCUGUAGAGAUAAGUCCGUGGGAUUGUCUCCAUGGUUGUAGAGGGUCCAGAACGCUGUAGGUGGUACAAUUCCCCAGACAGGUGGUCCUGGCCUGUAUAAGAAAUCUAGCUAAGAGGCCUGGAGAGACGUCUCUACUGUUAAGAGCACUUGGUGCUCUUGCAGAGGGCCCAGAUUUGAUACCAAGUAUUCACACGGUGACUCACAACUGCCUGUAACUCCAGUAUCAUGGGAUCCAAUGCCCUCUGGCCUCUGCAGGCACCUGCAUACAUGUAGUGCAUAUAAACUCUGUCUCACACAAGCACGAACACCUCACACACAUGCAUGCAUACACAUAUACACAUGUGCACACACACAUUUGUGCACACACAGAUGCAUGUGCAUAUAUACACACAUCAGUUAAAAAAACAAAACUUAGCAAAUUAUGAACAUGAGAUGGAGUCAGCAAGCAAUGUUCCUCCAUGAAAUGAAUCUUUUUCUCACCUAAGUUGCUUUUUCCCAGAGUGUUUUUAUCACAGCAACAGAAUGGAACUAGGACAGUUAUCAAACACGAAUUGGUGAGAGGCGUAUUUGCACUUUCCCCAUCUUGUUUCCGUAAGGAUACAAAUUAUGCUGAAAUAAAAGGAACUUUACACACUGACUAUGGAUGUCUACCAACAUACAUACAUGGAUUUCCACACAUGCAGGCACACACACUUCAGAUUAUCCAAAUAAGUUCUGUAUGAGUACUUAGAUUUACUUAAAAAUGCUGGCAUCAGGAGGUACUUGCCUUUCACUACAGAUAUAAUUCUAAGAGUUGCUGAUUAUUCAUAAGCGAGAAAAGACUGACAGUGACAAGUCUAAGUAGACACGGAAACAGAGUGAUGAUCUGCAUUUGGCUGGCCCUGACUCUUUCCUGUUGUCUGUCGAGGCACAAUGCACAGGCACACACACUCAGCCCAGAAAGAAACCCACAACACAUCACAGGAAAGAUUCGGUCAAAGCUGUGAUGAGCCAACUUGCUUACUGGAGUUACUCAUAGGAACAGUGUAGUUGGCCUUUUCUCUGGGCCACCAACCUCCUUCCAAAUAAAGACACAGAGACUUACUAUUAAUUGUGGGUGCUUGGUCUUAGCUUAGGAGUGUCCUACUAGUUCUUUUACUUAAUUUAACCUGUUCCUAUUCAUCUGUGUUUUGCCUUAGGGU